Portunus trituberculatus (swimming crab) is the source of this 221-nucleotide long non-coding RNA. RefSeq lists it as uncharacterized. The record is from RefSeq and is a predicted model, not a curated record. NCBI's taxonomy places the organism in Eukaryota, Metazoa, Arthropoda, Malacostraca, Decapoda, Portunidae. The transcript is spliced from 3 exons.
GAAUUGCUAAUGAAGUCGUACUUUUCACCCGAGGGAAUCGAGUACAAUUUGUGUCGUGUUCCAAUGGCUGGCAGUGAUUUCUCAACGCGGCCGUACUCAUAUGACGAUGUUGAGGGUGAUGUUGAUCUGUUGCACUUCAAUCUUACUAUGGAGGAUUAUAAAUACAAGCUACCCUUCAUCAAACGAGCACAAGAACUAGCUGAGAGGAGUUGCACUUUGCU